RNAcentral lists this ribosomal RNA (500 nucleotides) under uncultured bacterium. RNAcentral's name for it is "bacterial SSU rRNA". It matches the Rfam family "Bacterial small subunit ribosomal RNA", at positions 8 to 529 of the family's 1533-position model. The record is from RNAcentral.
AGAGUUUGAUCCUGGCUCAGAACGAACGCUGGCGGCGUGGAUAAGACAUGCAAGUCGAACGAGAGAAUUGCUAGCUUGCUAACAAUUCUCUAGUGGCGCACGGGUGAGUAACACGUGAGUAACCUGCCCCCGAGAGCGGGAUAGCCCUGGGAAACUGGGAUUAAUACCGCAUAGUAUCGAAAGAUUAAAGCAGCAAUGCGCUUGGGGAUGGGCUCGCGGCCUAUUAGUUAGUUGGUGAGGUAACGGCUCACCAAGGCGAUGACGGGUAGCCGGUCUGAGAGGAUGUCCGGCCACACUGGAACUGAGACACGGUCCAGACACCUACGGGUGGCAGCAGUCGAGAAUCAUUCACAAUGGGGGAAACCCUGAUGGUGCGACGCCGCGUGGGGGAAUGAAGGUCUUCGGAUUGUAAACCCCUGUCAUGUGGGAGCAAAUUAAAAAGAUAGUACCACAAGAGGAAGAGACGGCUAACUCUGUGCCAGCAGCCGCGGUAAUACAGA